GGAGGCUUCGCCUAGUCAGGUCUAUGGCGCCGCACUGCUAAUGCGGUUUGGCAGCAAUGCCAUCGGGAGUUCAAAUCUCCCAGCCUCCG
Transfer RNA from Streptosporangium subroseum, 89 nucleotides. It matches the Rfam family "tRNA". Rfam says of the family: Transfer RNA (tRNA) molecules are approximately 80 nucleotides in length. NCBI's taxonomy places the organism in Bacteria, Bacillati, Actinomycetota, Actinomycetes, Streptosporangiales, Streptosporangiaceae. The record is from Rfam.